AGAAAAUUUUUCCUACCUGGGUAUUUUAGUUAAGUUCUUUAAACCCAAAGAAUUUGGCGGUAUUUCAUUCCAUUUAGAGGAACCUAUCUAUUAAUUGAUAAUACACGAUUAACUUUACUUAAUUUAUUUGUUUGUAUAUCUCCGUUAUCAGAAAAUCUUUAUGGGGUAAUAAUUUUCUUGUUUUUAAAAUAAAAUUUAUUUCAGGUCAAGGUGCAGCUUAUAAUUAAGAUUUUGAUGGGUUACAAUAAAUUAUGGUUUAUUAUGGAUUUAAUUCUUGAAAUUUGUUUAAUGAAGGUGGAUUUAAUAGUAAUUUAAUUAAUAAAUUAAAGGUAAUAAAC
Molecule: ribosomal RNA, 338 nt
Filed under: Heteracris pulcher
Lineage: Eukaryota; Metazoa; Arthropoda; Insecta; Orthoptera; Acrididae
Description: partial 12S ribosomal RNA
Source: RNAcentral